Molecule: ribosomal RNA, 250 nt
Filed under: uncultured bacterium
Lineage: Bacteria
Description: partial 16S ribosomal RNA
Rfam family: Bacterial small subunit ribosomal RNA
Source: RNAcentral
UCGAGAAUCUUCCGCAAUGGACGCAAGUCUGACGGAGCGACGCCGCGUGUAGGAUGAAGGUCUUCGGAUUGUAAACUACUGUCAGCAGGGAAGAAUAGGCGCUUGGUUAAUAACCAGGCGUUUUGACGGUACCUGCAGAGGAAGCCACGGCUAACUUCGUGCCAGCAGCCGCGGUAAUACGAAGGUGGCUAGCGUUGUUCGGAUUUAUUGGGCGUAAAGGGUCCGCAGGCGGUUUAGAAAGUCAGGUGUG